Molecule: ribosomal RNA, 498 nt
Filed under: uncultured bacterium
Lineage: Bacteria
Description: partial 16S ribosomal RNA
Rfam family: Bacterial small subunit ribosomal RNA
Source: RNAcentral
AUUGAACGCUGGCGGCAUGCCUUACACAUGCAAGUCGAACGGUAACAGGUCUUCGGAUGCUGACGAGUGGCGAACGGGUGAGUAAUACAUCGGAACGUGCCUAGUAGUGGGGGAUAACUACUCGAAAGAGUGGCUAAUACCGCAUGGGAUCUACGGAUGAAAGCAGGGGAUCGCAAGACCUUGUGCUACUAGAGCGGCCGAUGGCAGAUUAGGUAGUUGGUGGGAUAAAAGCUUACCAAGCCGACGAUCUGUAGCUGGUCUGAGAGGACGAUCAGCCAAACCGGGACUGAGAAACGGCCCAGACUCCUACGGGAGGCAGCAGUGGGGAAUUUUGGACAAUGGGCGCAAGCCUGAUCCAGCAAUGCCGCGUGCAGGAUGAAGGCCUUCGGGUUGUAAACUGCUUUUGUACGGAACGAAAAGCCCCGGGUUAAUACCCUGGGGUCAUGACGGUACCGUAAGAAUAAGCACCGGCUAACUACGUGCCAGCCGCCGCGGUAA